GGAGGAGUGGCCGAGUGGUUUAAGGCGGCGGUCUUGAAAACCGUUGAGUGGGGCAACCUGCUCCGUGGGUUCGAAUCCUACCUCCUCCGCCA
This 92-nucleotide transfer RNA is filed under the name Deltaproteobacteria bacterium. RNAcentral's name for it is "tRNA-Ser". It matches the Rfam family "tRNA". Rfam says of the family: Transfer RNA (tRNA) molecules are approximately 80 nucleotides in length. Their secondary structure includes four short double-helical elements and three loops (D, anti-codon, and T loops). Further hydrogen bonds mediate the characteristic L-shaped molecular structure. tRNAs have two regions of fundamental functional importance: the anti-codon, which is responsible for specific mRNA codon recognition, and the 3' end, to which the tRNAs corresponding amino acid is attached (by aminoacyl-tRNA synthetases). tRNAs cope with the degeneracy of the genetic code in two manners: having more than one tRNA (with a specific anti-codon) for a particular amino acid; and 'wobble' base-pairing, i.e. permitting non-standard base-pairing at the 3rd anti-codon position. Lineage: Bacteria; Pseudomonadati; Myxococcota; Myxococcia. The record is from RNAcentral.